GUGGAGCACCUACAAUUAUAUUUAAUGCAUCAUCUCCAAAAUGAUCAACACAAAAUCACCGUAGAAAAGAGAGAGCUCUGGGAAUACAAGUAGUAUCCAGCUGAAGAUCUGACACCUGAUUACAAAUACAGAUACAACUGCAGCAUGGUUUUCAACACCACAGAAGUAAUUUGCCUCUAUCUAGGAUUUUGAAACUACUAAACAAUGAUACCCAAGCAAUUUGAAUGCUCAUUAAAUUUUAAGAAGAACUGCUCUAUUGACUAUACCUGAAGUACUUCUUCAACGGUCCCUUGGAUUGUUAAAAACGAUCAGCAUUAGUUUUAAGAAAAUGGAAUAUGGUAAACUGUGAUGUAUGCAAGAUGUUAAAACCAAGUGAACAAGUGUGGUCUCCAACCCAUCUCCAGCCGAAGAGCUCCUG
Molecule: long non-coding RNA, 418 nt
Organism: Molossus molossus (Pallas's mastiff bat)
Lineage: Eukaryota; Metazoa; Chordata; Mammalia; Chiroptera; Molossidae
Exons: 5
Source: RefSeq, a predicted model, not a curated record